GAAGGCAUUCUGGAACAGGACCAGAAAGACCACGACCAAGCAGCCUUGAGAUCUUAGGCAGCGUCUCCCUCAGACCAAAGAACUACAGACUCUUCACAACCUGCUCAAACUCUUGGUACAGGACCUCACCACACGGGUCAAGAAGAUUUCUGUCUCAUUUCUACUCUGAAGCUCACCUUCUCCUGCUCAAACUGCUGACAAAUGUUUCUGCUGCUCUAAAGUCUGGUCUCCAGAACUUCCUAAAAACUCUCAAAGUCUCUUCUGCUGCAGGUUGCUUUGUAGAACUGUUCCAGAAAAGCUCACUAAACCACAUGGAGGGGCCUCAAGAUAGUCGUCCAAAUGAAACCGUACAAAAACCAAACUAGCACAACCCAAACGCUAAAGUCUCCUGCAGCCUACCAGAGAACCUCUGA
Amphiprion ocellaris (clown anemonefish) is the source of this 413-nucleotide long non-coding RNA. NCBI's taxonomy places the organism in Eukaryota, Metazoa, Chordata, Actinopteri, Pomacentridae. The record is from Ensembl.